This 26-nucleotide non-coding RNA is filed under the name Homo sapiens (human). The record is from RNAcentral. Lineage: Eukaryota; Metazoa; Chordata; Mammalia; Primates; Hominidae.
UCUAGCCUUUCGUGUCUAUGUCCUUU